CAACCGUGAAAAAAAUAAGUGAUGACAUAUUGACACCGUUUGAGAAACACCACCGUCUCUUUCUACGGUUGUUUAGUCCCUAAAUUGAUAAUGGAAAAGCCCACCAUGGAGAGACAUCAAUAUACCUGUUGAUUCUUUCUUCUCUCUUCCAUGAGAAAAGAUGGAUUUUUGACAGAUUAAAGAAGUCCUCACAUGGUGAAAGAAGCUCAUGAUAAGAAUAUCAAAAAUUGCGGGAUCUAUUAUCAUAUGACAAUGCCUUAGAAAGCAGCAUUGUUGUUGCAACAACACCUCAACUGUAGAGAGGCAACAGAAAAUCAUCUUCUUGCAAACACAAAUCAUGUCAACUCCAUCUCAAAUGCAGGGUGGUUGGAACAUUGUCCUUAUUGCUUGCUCAAUCUCCCAAGCUACACAAAUACUGGUCUUACACUUGCUCACCGUGUUUAUUGUAGUUGGAUGGUGGACAACGGGAUCGAUCUCUCAUUCGUGAUACUUAUCCGUUCAAAGUGUGAGGAAGAUCGAUGGAGUUGAAUGCGACCACUCUAAGAAAAGAUUUAGUACUUUAAUUUGUCCGUGAUUGUUUUGAGUAUUAUUUAGCUUAUGCAAACUCCUUUCGCUCUCCGUUGUAUCUGUGUUGAUUCGCGA
Non-coding RNA from Nicotiana tabacum (common tobacco), 642 nucleotides. Lineage: Eukaryota; Viridiplantae; Streptophyta; Magnoliopsida; Solanales; Solanaceae. The record is from RefSeq and is a predicted model, not a curated record.